GGGGAUGACAGGCUUCGACGGGAGAGGCUGAACCCGAACGGCGAGCCGAGAGGUACCGACCUCGUAAAAUCAGUACAAAACACAAGUGCCAAUCGCACUAACUAUGCUGCUCUUCCUUUAGCUGCAUAAGCUAAGGAACCAGCGACUGGUCUUCGGACCACGUCUGCCUGCACCGAACUCCGACCGGUCGCGGGACAGGCGCCACAAAGUUGGAGUGCUGUGCAUACGGCCGCGCAAUGCACAAAAGAGGGCUUUCGGGUCCAAGCGGCUGGCUGCUGACGUUGGCUGAGGGUCUCCCUGUCAGCGGCGAGAACCAAGAUCCGCUACGCUCGUAGAAGUUCGCGGCUCUAUUCUUUCGGACGCGGGUUCGAUUCCCGCCAUCUCCACCA
This 389-nucleotide transfer-messenger RNA is filed under the name Anaerolineaceae. RNAcentral describes it as "Pelolinea sp013178095 Standard tmRNA". It matches the Rfam family "transfer-messenger RNA". From Rfam's summary of the family: Bacterial tmRNA, also known as 10Sa RNA or SsrA, is named for its dual tRNA and mRNA-like properties. Its role is to liberate the mRNA from a stalled ribosome. To accomplish this part of the tmRNA is used as a reading frame that ends in a translation stop signal. Lineage: Bacteria; Bacillati; Chloroflexota; Anaerolineae; Anaerolineales. RNAcentral also lists the same sequence under 1 other name. The record is from RNAcentral.